Long non-coding RNA from Cryptotermes secundus, 447 nucleotides. RefSeq lists it as uncharacterized. The record is from RefSeq and is a predicted model, not a curated record. NCBI's taxonomy places the organism in Eukaryota, Metazoa, Arthropoda, Insecta, Blattodea, Kalotermitidae. The transcript is spliced from 4 exons.
GUAUCAUUGAGUUGGAGACCUGUAUCGACAUACUAUUUCACAGGUGAGCGGGAAAUGACACCUCCAAGUUACGUAAACUGAUACCCAUCCCUAUGAUUGUGAAUGUGAAGGAUGUACCAUGUGCAAGUACAGUAACUAUGGAAAUGGGAUGUUGUGAUUUGAUAACACAGACCAGAGGGACUUUGAGAGAGAAAUGAUUGAAGAGAAGAAAUGUCAGGAAGAAGGCAAACAUGGAGCUUGGAAUGAAGGUGAGAUUGAGAUGAUGAAAAGUUUGGGCGUUGCGAGAGCUACAGUGGUCUGAUCUCAGACUUCAAAGAAGAGGAGGGCUACAAACCAAAUGUUAAACUCGACUACAUACAUGAUGAUGAUGGACGUGUACUUAAUGCAGAGGAGGCUUUCAGGUCAGCACAGAUACCUGUCUCAUGAAUUUGAUGGAGAAGAACCUGG